AAAUAAAAAAGGCAAACCAUAGGAAACUUUGGGACGCAAAGCUAUAGGGACUUCAUCGAUGUUGCGAUAGGUCAGCCAGUUACCGAA
RNAcentral lists this non-coding RNA (87 nucleotides) under Anaerobacillus alkalilacustris. RNAcentral describes it as "c-di-GMP sequence". It matches the Rfam family "c-di-GMP-I riboswitch aptamer". From Rfam's summary of the family: GEMM was predicted in a large-scale screen for bacterial structured RNA regulatory elements. Genes associated with GEMM are involved in a diverse array of functions, including chemotaxis regulation, signal transduction, secretion and chitin. The record is from RNAcentral. Lineage: Bacteria; Bacillati; Bacillota; Bacilli; Caryophanales; Bacillaceae.